Molecule: ribosomal RNA, 995 nt
Filed under: uncultured Corynebacterium sp.
Lineage: Bacteria; Bacillati; Actinomycetota; Actinomycetes; Mycobacteriales; Corynebacteriaceae
Description: bacterial SSU rRNA
Rfam family: Bacterial small subunit ribosomal RNA
Source: RNAcentral
GUGCCAGCAGCCGCGGUAAUACGUAGGGUGCGAGCGUUGUCCGGAAUUACUGGGCGUAAAGAGCUCGUAGGUGGUUUGUCGCGUCGUCUGUGAAAUUCCGGGGCUUAACUCCGGGCGUGCAGGCGAUACGGGCUGACUUGAGUGCUGUAGGGGAGACUGGAAUUCCUGGUGUAGCGGUGAAAUGCGCAGAUAUCAGGAGGAACACCGAUGGCGAAGGCAGGUCUCUGGGCAGUAACUGACGCUGAGGAGCGAAAGCAUGGGUAGCGAACAGGAUUAGAUACCCUGGUAGUCCGUGCCGUAAACGGUGGGCGCUAGGUGUAGGGGGCUUCCACGUCUUCUGUGCCGUAGCUAACGCAUUAAGCGCCCCGCCUGGGGAGUACGGCCGCAAGGCUAAAACUCAAAGGAAUUGACGGGGGCCCGCACAAGCGGCGGAGCAUGUGGAUUAAUUCGAUGCAACGCGAAGAACCUUACCUGGGCUUGACAUACACCAGAUAGGGCCAGGGAUGGUCUUUCCCUUUGUGGUUGGUGUACAGGUGGUGCAUGGUUGUCGUCAGCUCGUGUCGUGAGAUGUUGGGUUAAGUCCCGCAACGAGCGCAACCCUUGUCUUAUGUUGCCAGCACGUUAUGGUGGGGACUCGUGAGAGACUGCCGGGGUUAACUCGGAGGAAGGUGGGGAUGACGUCAAAUCAUCAUGCCCCUUAUGUCCAGGGCUUCACACAUGCUACAAUGGUCGGUACAGAGGGCUGCGAUACCGCAAGGUGGAGCGAAUCCCAAAAAGCCUGUCUCAGUUCGGAUUGGGGUCUGCAACUCGACCCCAUGAAGUCGGAGUCGCUAGUAAUCGCAGAUCAGCAACGCUGCGGCGAAUACGUUCCCGGGCCUUGUACACACCGCCCGUCAAGUCAUGAAAGUCGGUAACACCCGAAGCCGGUGGCCUAACCUUUUGGAGGGAGCCGUCGAAGGUGGGAUCGGUGAUUAGGACUAAGUCGUAACAAGGUA